GAUGAAGAACGUAGCGAAAUGCGAUACUUGGUGUGAAUUGCAGAAUCCCGUGAACCAUCGAGUCUUUGAACGCAAGUUGCGCCCGAAGCCAUUAGGCCGAGGGCACGCCUGCCUGGGCGUCACACGUCGUUGCCCCCCCAUCUACUCCUUCGGGAUUGCGGGGGGCGGAUGAUGGCCUCCCGUGCGCCUCGUCGCGCGGUUGGCAUAAAUGCCAAGUCCUCGGCGACGCACGCCACGACAAUCGGUGGUUGCGAAACCUCGGUUGCCCGUCGUGUGCGGUCGUCGCGCAUCGAGGGCUCGAAAAAAUUGUCGGGCUCCGGCUCGGCUUUCAACGCGACCCCAGGUCAGGCGGGGAUACCCGCUGAAUUUAAGCAUAUCAAUAAGCGGAGGA
RNAcentral lists this unclassified non-coding RNA (391 nucleotides) under soil metagenome. RNAcentral's name for it is "partial contains 5.8S ribosomal RNA, internal transcribed spacer 2, and large subunit ribosomal RNA". The stretch from base 1 to 122 matches the Rfam family "5.8S ribosomal RNA", at positions 35 to 154 of the family's 154-position model. The record is from RNAcentral.